This 254-nucleotide ribosomal RNA is filed under the name uncultured bacterium. RNAcentral's name for it is "partial 16S ribosomal RNA". It matches the Rfam family "Bacterial small subunit ribosomal RNA", at positions 524 to 776 of the family's 1533-position model. The record is from RNAcentral.
UACGUAGGGUGCAAGCGUUAUCCGGAAUUAUUGGGCGUAAAGAGCUCGUAGGCGGUUUGUCGCGUCUGCUGUGAAAACCCGAGGCUCAACCUCGGGCCUGCAGUGGGUACGGGCAGACUAGAGUGCGGUAGGGGGAGAUUGGAAUUCCUGGUGUAGCGGUGGAAUGCGCAGAUAUCAGGAGGAACACCGAUGGCGAAGGCAGAUCUCUGGGCCGUAACUGACGCUGAGGAGCGAAAGCGUGGGGAGCGAACAGG